RNAcentral lists this ribosomal RNA (405 nucleotides) under uncultured prokaryote. Its description in RNAcentral is "bacterial SSU rRNA". It matches the Rfam family "Bacterial small subunit ribosomal RNA", at positions 355 to 774 of the family's 1533-position model. The record is from RNAcentral.
UGGGGGAUAUUGCACAAUGGGCGAAAGCCUGAUGCAGCAACGCCGCGUGAGGGAAGACGGUUUUCGGAUUGUAAACCUCUGUCUUCGGUGAAGAAAAAAAUGACGGUAGCCGAGGAGGAAGCCACGGCUAACUACGUGCCAGCAGCCGCGGUAAUACGUAGGUGGCGAGCGUUGUCCGGAAUUACUGGGUGUAAAGGGAGCGCAGGCGGGGAGAAAAGUCAGCUGUGGAAACUAUGGGCUUAACCCAUAAACUGCAGUUGAAACUGUUUUUCUUGAGUGGAGUAGAGGUAGGUGGAAUUCCGAGUGUAGCGGUGAAAUGCGUAGAUAUUCGGAGGAACACCAGUGGCGAAGGCGGCCUACUGGGCUCUAACUGACGCUGAGGCGCGAAAGUGUGGGGAGCAAACA